GAUGAACGCUGGCGGCGUGCCUAAUACAUGCAAGUCGAGCGAACAGACGAGGAGCUUGCUCCUCUGACGUUAGCGGCGGACGGGUGAGUAACACGUGGAUAACCUACCUAUAAGACUGGGAUAACUUCGGGAAACCGGAGCUAAUACCGGAUAAUAUAUUGAACCGCAUGGUUCAAUAGUGAAAGACGGUUUUGCUGUCACUUAUAGAUGGAUCCGCGCCGCAUUAGCUAGUUGGUAAGGUAACGGCUUACCAAGGCAACGAUGCGUAGCCGACCUGAGAGGGUGAUCGGCCACACUGGAACUGAGACACGGUCCAGACUCCUACGGGAGGCAGCAGUAGGGAAUCUUCCGCAAAGGGCGAAAGCCUGACGGAGCAACGCCGCGUGAGUGAUGAAGGUCUUCGGAGCGUAAAACUCUGUUAUUAGGGAAGAACAAAUGUGUAAGUAACUAUGCACGUCUUGACGGUACCUAAUCAGAAAGCCACGGCUAACUACGUG
This 497-nucleotide ribosomal RNA is filed under the name uncultured bacterium. RNAcentral describes it as "partial 16S ribosomal RNA". It matches the Rfam family "Bacterial small subunit ribosomal RNA", at positions 28 to 507 of the family's 1533-position model. The record is from RNAcentral.